GACGAACCGUGCGAACGUUGUUCGGAAUCACUGGGUUUAAAGGGCGCGUAGGCGGGCUGUCAAGUCGGUGGUGAAAUCUUUCGGCUCAACCGGAAAAUUGCCUUCGAUACUGGCGGCCUGGAGGGAGGUAGGGGCAUGCGGAACUUCCGGUGGAGCGGUGAAAUGCGUAGAUAUCGGAAGGAACACCGAUGGCGAAAGCAGCGUGCUGGACCGUGUCUGGCGCUGAGGCGCGAAAGCCAGGGGAGCAAACGGG
RNAcentral lists this ribosomal RNA (253 nucleotides) under uncultured bacterium. RNAcentral's name for it is "partial 16S ribosomal RNA". It matches the Rfam family "Bacterial small subunit ribosomal RNA", at positions 524 to 776 of the family's 1533-position model. The record is from RNAcentral.